This 490-nucleotide ribosomal RNA is filed under the name uncultured bacterium. Its description in RNAcentral is "partial 16S ribosomal RNA". It matches the Rfam family "Bacterial small subunit ribosomal RNA", at positions 28 to 507 of the family's 1533-position model. The record is from RNAcentral.
GAUGAACGCUCGCUACAGGCUUAACACAUGCAAGUCGAGGGGCAGCAUGGUCUUAGCUUGCUAAGGCCGAUGGCGACCGGCGCACGGGUGAGUAACACGUAUCCAACCUGCCGUCUACUCUUGGACAGCCUUCUGAAAGGAAGAUUAAUACAAGAUGGCAUCAUGAGUCCGCAUGUUCACAUGAUUAAAGGUAUUCCGGUAGACGAUGGGGAUGCGUUCCAUUAGAUAGUAGGCGGGGUAACGGCCCACCUAGUCUUCGAUGGAUAGGGGUUCUGAGAGGAAGGUCCCCCACAUUGGAACUGAGACACGGUCCAAACUCCUACGGGAGGCAGCAGUGAGGAAGAUUGGUCAAUGGGCGAGAGCCUGAACCAGCCAAGUAGUGUGAAGGACGACUGCCCUAUGGGUUGUAAACUUCUUUUAUAAAGGAAUAAAGUCGGGUAUGGAUACCCGUUUGCAUGUACUUUAUGAAUAAGGAUCGGCUAACUCCGUG